Molecule: long non-coding RNA, 3610 nt
Organism: Puntigrus tetrazona (Sumatra barb)
Lineage: Eukaryota; Metazoa; Chordata; Actinopteri; Cypriniformes; Cyprinidae
Exons: 2
Source: RefSeq, a predicted model, not a curated record
AGGAAAAAAAAAAGAGAGAGACUGUUUAUUUUCUGUAUCUUUAAUUGUUCACAUCAGCGGAUUUUUUAGUUCUCUUAUCGCAAUUGUAUGCAUCACACAGUUUACAUAUUCCCACGUGGGUGUAGGUAGCCUCAGCAGCCAAUCAGAGGUUACGCAAGUCACGUUCAGCGUGUCGACACAGAGACGAGGCGCGGGUGCAGCUUCUUCCGGUUUUUUUCUAAAAUCAUAGCGAGAGAGACGGGGGUAGCUGUGUGUUAGCAAGGAGUCAAAACCAGGACAAAAUUUUGGAGGUUUGUCUAAAAGGAAAAAGAGUCGGAGCACACUUCGCCGAAGAUCCGGAGUCGUGUUAUAGAACGAAGUUACGUCGGCUAACCACUCGCCCUUUUGUCUGGGAAGUUGCCACGAGGUCCAUCAUCGUCGUGUUACACCUUGAUAUACCCGGAGCAACGGUCAGGUUUUUUUUGUAGGACGGAUGUUGUCCAGAACCAACAUCUCCAGUGAUUCUGAUGGCGAGCCAAGUCCACUGAGGAAAGUCCAGCACCGAUUUCCCUAUCCACCUGCACAUAAUAUUUACUUUACAAGUAUCUUUGGAGCAAGGUGAACUGCACAACCUCUACAGCAAAUGCACUGGAACCAAUUUUUUUUAUUUUUGUUUAAGGGCCCAACGGACAUUCUUUUAUUUUCUAGUGUGCACACUACUACUUUUAUUUUUGUAACUUUUGGGGUUUAUUUCACAUUUUGUACAAACAGGUCAACUGUGUAAACAAUAUAAGAGUGGCUACUCAACUGUACUCUUGUGUCCGUCUCAUUUUUCAAUAUCGUGGCUCCGUCGAAUUUGGUAUCUUCUGAUUCUGGUCCAGGGUCUAUUACUAGUAAAGGCUAUUAUUAUACUGUAAUUCACUUUUAUAGUGUUAAAAUUGGUUACAGCUACCCCUUUGCUGCCACCCACAGUGGUCCUGAUUGACAGCGGCCAGGAAAACACGGAAAUGGGAUGCAUUGCCCAACCACCCCCAAGUUCAGUGGCGUUCUCAAGACUUCUGUGGUGGUCCAAGAUGCUUCUGUCUUGCGCAAGGAGAUUGCUGUCCUCCUGGCAAAGGAUGCAAUCGAGCCAGUCCCUCCAGCCGAGACGAUGAUGAUGCUCCAAGAAAGAGGUGGACCUGCAUGCUUAGAAUCGGGUUCUUCACAAGCUCCUGUUCAAAAUGUUAACGCAAAAACACAUUAUCAAAUGUGUUCAGCCACAGGAUUGGUUUGCAGCGGUAGACCUGAAGGACGUGUGCUUCCGUGUCUUGAUUCUCGAGGCUCCUGGGGCAUAUGUCAUCCACAAUCGCUGUCACGCCACUCGGAUUACUCCAUAUGAGACCACUCCAGCACUAGCUUCACUUUCGAGUCUCAAGACGGGCAGAGUGCUGUGGGACACUCCAUGUGAACAUCACUCCAAGCUGUCGCCAAACCUUCAACGCAUGGUUAGACCUUGCCUUUCUAUGGGCCGGGGUGCCAGGCAUGUUGUUGUCACAACAAAUGCCUCCCCCUCGGGUUGGGGUACCACAUGCAAUGGGCAGGCAGCCUCAGGGCUCUGGACAGGGCCUCAACUACUUUGGCACAUUGACUGCCUAGAGCUGCUGGCCAUUCAUCUAGCCUUGCAACAGUUCCAGCCAGGGGUAUGGCACCUUUUGGACCCGCAUCCCAACUUAUGGACACUAUCACUCAGGCUAGGCCUCCUUCUACAAGGCACACCUACACACUGAAGUGGAGUCUGUUCGCUGAGAGGACCCCCAAAGAUGCUCAAUUGCAGUAGUGCUUUCUUUUUUUCUCCAAGAGAAGUUGAAGUGUAUGUUGUCACCCUCCACUCUGAAAGUGUAUGUGGCUGCUAUUGCAGCACAUAACGAUGCAGUAGACGGCUGGUGAAAGCACAAUCUCGUUGUAAGGUUCCUGAGGGGUGCCAGAAGGCUAAAUCCUUCUAGGUAACCCCUAGUGCCCUUUCUGGGAUCUCUCUGUUGUCCUGGCUGGCCUUUAGGGGGAUCCCUUUGAGCCGCUUGAGUCAGUCGAACUUAAGUUCCUAUUUGCUAAGGCAGUGCUCCAUAACGGUGCUCACUUCCAACAAGAGGGUUGGGGACCUCCAAGCAUUUUCAGUCAGCAAAGAGUGCCUUCUGUUCGGGCCGGCCUACUCUCACGUCGUCUUGAGACCCUGGCCUGGAUACAUGCUGAAGGUUCCAACUACGCCUUUCUCCAAUCAAAUGGUAAACCUGCAAGCACUGCCCCGGAGGAUGCAGACCCAGCUUUGACGCUGCUGUGUCCUGUAAGAGCUGUGGGUUGGGCUAGGUGGCCAUAUGGUCACCAUCCCAUAUGUGCAAUUCCAUGGUAAGAUUUCUUUACAGGUGAACUUGUGUCUUCCCUUGGCAGAUCUUCUGUCUCCACUGUCAGUCACUUCUCCCCUUCCUUAAGCAGGACCUGACGCAGAGACCUAUAUCGCAUGUUGCACUGCCCUAGCUGGGUCAGUCCAUGGGUGUCUCCACAUAUUACCUUCCUUUGUGUAGGAUGUGGUCUCUGUAGCAUCCUUCUCUGGAAGGUUUGCUUAGCCCUUCUGCCAAACUGUAACAAAUAGGGAAAUUAAAGCAUCUCUUGGUCGAAAUCCCUUCCCUUAAGAAUCUAUUUCUUAGAAACAACGGUUUAGCCUCUCCAGCAACAAUGUACUCAUUGUUGGUCCCUGUGGGUGCCAAGGUAAAUGAAUUUGCUCUGGGGCAUUGGAAAGUUUAUAACCUUGCAUAGCAUUUACCUGACACACUGUGACCUGUCAGCAAUUGUAGUCCUGUUGGUUGUGACGUGGUUCAGGUUGUGUUGCAUAUGGUUUUGCAUAUGGACCCCAGUCUGUUGUCACAACAUAAUUUGUAGUGACUUACAGACAGGGAACGUCUCGGUUAUGUAUGUAACCCUUAUUCCCUGAUUGAGGGAGCGGAGAUGUUAUGUCCCCUUGCCACAACUUUGAACCAUCACUGGGGGGACCAGGGACCUGGGCUCCUCAGCAAAACCUGACGAGUGGUUAUACCUGUCACCUAUUUAUACCCAUGUGAUGGGGAGUGUCAGGAUUAGUUUACCACUUUUUCAGUUUUUCAGCGUUUUCAGUUAAUCAUAGCUAAUAAGGGUUUCAAGCAAGACCCCAAUAUGUCGUCACAACAUAGUGUCUCCUUUCUCUUCAUCAGGGAACAAGGGUUGCAUAUGUAACUGAGGCGUUUCCUAUCAGUUGUGUUUUUUGUUUCUUUAUGAUUUUUAAAUUCUGAAUGUUGUGUGUUGAGUAAGCUGUAAAAUCCACAAAAUAACACCUGAUUCACUAACCACUGAAAACCUGCAGGUAUAUUGUGAAAUUCCCUUUUUACUGUCAAAUAAAAUACAUUUAAUAUGUUUAUUAGGGCUUACAUUUAGAUAAAUAUCACUUGUCUUUUUUUCAGAGCCAUCUGGUAAUAGAUCUGCUGUUAUGUACAAAUGAAUCUAAAAGCUUAUGUUACACGUUGCUUAUGUGUGCUCUUGUUUGAUGUUGUUUGGUGUCAUUUAUUAAUUUCCUGCACUUAGAGCCAUGUUUCUGUCUGCUACGUUGCAAUAAAAACUGCUAAAGAAA